UACGGAGGGGGCUAGCGUUGUUCGGAAUAACUGGGCGUAAAGCGCAUGUAGGCGGAUCUUUAAGUCAGAGGUGAAAUCCCAGGGCUCAACCCCGGCAUUGCCUUUGAUACUGGAGAUCUGGAGUCUGGGAGAGGUGAGUGGAAUUCCGAGUGUAGAGGUGAAAUUCGUAGAUAUUCGGAGGAACACCAGUGGCGAAGGCGGCUCACUGGCCCGAGACUGACGCUGAGAUGCGAAGGCGUGGGGAGCAAACAGG
RNAcentral lists this ribosomal RNA (253 nucleotides) under uncultured bacterium. RNAcentral's name for it is "partial 16S ribosomal RNA". It matches the Rfam family "Bacterial small subunit ribosomal RNA", at positions 524 to 776 of the family's 1533-position model. The record is from RNAcentral.